RNAcentral lists this ribosomal RNA (210 nucleotides) under uncultured bacterium. RNAcentral describes it as "partial 16S ribosomal RNA". It matches the Rfam family "Bacterial small subunit ribosomal RNA", at positions 524 to 730 of the family's 1533-position model. The record is from RNAcentral.
UACGUAGGGUCCGAGCGUUGUCCGGAAUUACUGGGCGUAAAGAGGCUCGUAGGUGGUUUGUCGCGUUGUUCGUGAAAACUCACAGCUUAACUGUGGCGUGCGGGCGAUACGGGCAGACUUGAGUGAACUGCAGGGGAGACUGGAAAUUCCUGGUGUAGCGGUGGAAUGCGCAGAUAUCAGGAGGAACACCGGUGGCGAAGGCGGGUCUCU